Molecule: transfer RNA, 76 nt
Filed under: Limnochordaceae bacterium
Lineage: Bacteria; Bacillati; Bacillota; Limnochordia; Limnochordales; Limnochordaceae
Also listed under: 1 other name
Description: tRNA-Ala
Rfam family: tRNA
About the family: Transfer RNA (tRNA) molecules are approximately 80 nucleotides in length. Their secondary structure includes four short double-helical elements and three loops (D, anti-codon, and T loops).
Source: RNAcentral
GGGGAUGUAGCUCAGCGGGGAGAGCGCCUGCUUUGCAAGCAGGAGGUCGGCGGUUCGAGCCCGCUCAUCUCCACCA